UGCUCUGAUGAUCCCACUAAUAACAGGAAGUGCCAUCAAAAGCGAUAACUGACGAAAGUGCACCAGAUGCUGUUG
Molecule: small nucleolar RNA, 75 nt
Organism: Octodon degus (degu)
Lineage: Eukaryota; Metazoa; Chordata; Mammalia; Rodentia; Octodontidae
Product: small nucleolar RNA SNORD49
Exons: 1
Source: RefSeq, a predicted model, not a curated record